UGCGUAAGGAUCAUUG
Molecule: ribosomal RNA, 16 nt
Filed under: Silene viscidula
Lineage: Eukaryota; Viridiplantae; Streptophyta; Magnoliopsida; Caryophyllales; Caryophyllaceae
Description: partial 18S ribosomal RNA
Source: RNAcentral